Molecule: ribosomal RNA, 981 nt
Filed under: uncultured Prevotella sp.
Lineage: Bacteria; Pseudomonadati; Bacteroidota; Bacteroidia; Bacteroidales; Prevotellaceae
Description: bacterial SSU rRNA
Rfam family: Bacterial small subunit ribosomal RNA
Source: RNAcentral
CAGCAGCCGCGGUAAUACGGAAGGUCCGGGCGUUAUCCGGAUUAUUGGGUUUAAAGGGAGUGUAGGCGGUCUGUUAAGCGUGUUGUGAAAUUUAGGUGCUCAACAUUUAACUUGCAGCGCGAACUGUCAGACUUGAGUACACGCAGCGCAGGCGGAAUUCAUGGUGUAGCGGUGAAAUGCUUAGAUAUCAUGAGGAACUCCGAUCGCGAAGGCAGCCUGCGGGAGUGUUACUGACGCUUAAGCUCGAAGGUGCGGGUAUCGAACAGGAUUAGAUACCCUGGUAGUCCGCACUGUAAACGAUGGAUGCCCGCCGUUGGCGCCCUGCGCCUGCGGCCAAGCGAAAGCAUUAAGCAUCCCACCUGGGGAGUACGCCGGCAACGGUGAAACUCAAAGGAAUUGACGGGGGCCCGCACAAGCGGAGGAACAUGUGGUUUAAUUCGAUGAUACGCGAGGAACCUUACCCGGGCUUGAAUUGCAGUCGCUGCCCACAGAGACGUGGGCUUCCCUUCGGGGCGUCUGUGAAGGUGCUGCAUGGUUGUCGUCAGCUCGUGCCGUGAGGUGUCGGCUUAAGUGCCAUAACGAGCGCAACCCCCUUUCCCAGUUGCCAUCGGGUUAUGCCGGGCACUCUGGGGACACUGCCACCGCAAGGUGCGAGGAAGGUGGGGAUGACGUCAAAUCAGCACGGCCCUUACGUCCGGGGCUACACACGUGUUACAAUGGCCGGUACAGAGGGACGGUGUAAUGCAAGUUGCAUCCAAUCUUGAAAUCCGGUCCCAGUUCGGACUGGGGUCUGCAACCCGACCCCACGAAGCUGGAUUCGCUAGUAAUCGCGCAUCAGCCAUGGCGCGGUGAAUACGUUCCCGGGCCUUGUACACACCGCCCGUCAAGCCAUGAAAGCCGGGGGUGCCUGAAGUUCGUGACCGCGAGGAGCGACCUAGGGCAAGACCGGUGAUUGGGGCUAAGUCGUAACAAGGUAGCCGU